AGACCUGGGAUCUCCCGCCGCCCUCUUAAGAACUCUUGGAGAGAACCCUUCCCAAAACCAAACCCGGACGCCGUCGCUCGUACGGGUGAGAAUCCCGAUCAACAGCCGAAACCACCGGUUUCCACCCGUACGCUCGGCUGCACAAGUACCCAGACAUGCGACGACCCCCGCCAGGAGUGCAAUCCCGACGAGGGUCUGACCACCAAGGAAGAUUGGCGCUUCCCA
RNAcentral lists this non-coding RNA (225 nucleotides) under Streptomycetaceae bacterium MP113-05. RNAcentral's name for it is "Streptomyces sRNA 4677". It matches the Rfam family "Streptomyces sRNA 4677". Rfam says of the family: Located in the intergenic region between anti-sigma factor SCO4677 gene and a putative regulatory protein gene SCO4676. scr4677 expression requires the SCO4677 activity and scr4677 sRNA itself seem to affect the levels of the SCO4676-associated transcripts. Lineage: Bacteria; Bacillati; Actinomycetota; Actinomycetes; Kitasatosporales; Streptomycetaceae. The record is from Rfam by way of RNAcentral.